Molecule: ribosomal RNA, 253 nt
Filed under: uncultured bacterium
Lineage: Bacteria
Description: partial 16S ribosomal RNA
Rfam family: Bacterial small subunit ribosomal RNA
Source: RNAcentral
UACGUAGGGACCGAGCGUUGUCCGGAUUCAUUGGGCGUAAAGAGCUCGUAGGCGGCCACUCAAGUCGAAUGUGAAACCUCGAGGCUUAACCUCGAGCCUGCAUUCGAUACUGGGCGGCUAGAGUCUGGUAGGGGGAUCUGGAAUUCCUGGUGUAGCGGUGGAAUGCGCAGAUAUCAGGAGGAACACCAAUGGCGAAGGCAGCACUCUGGGACGUGACUGACGCUGAGACGCGAAAGCGUGGGGAGCAAACAGG